RNAcentral lists this ribosomal RNA (253 nucleotides) under uncultured bacterium. Its description in RNAcentral is "partial 16S ribosomal RNA". It matches the Rfam family "Bacterial small subunit ribosomal RNA", at positions 524 to 776 of the family's 1533-position model. The record is from RNAcentral.
UACGGGGGGGGUAAGCGUUGUUCGGAAUUACUGGGCGUAAAGGGCUCGUAGGCGGCCAACUAAGUCGGACGUGAAAUCCCUCGGCUUAACUGGGGAACUGCGUCCGAUACUGGAUGGCUUGGAUUUGGGAGAGGGAUGCGGAAUUCCAGGUGUAGCGGUGAAAUGCGUAGAUAUCUGGAGGAACACCGGUGGCGAAGGCGGCAUCCUGGACCAAUAUUGACGCUGAGGAGCGAAAGCCAGGGGAGCAAACGGG